This 484-nucleotide ribosomal RNA is filed under the name uncultured bacterium. RNAcentral's name for it is "partial 16S ribosomal RNA". It matches the Rfam family "Bacterial small subunit ribosomal RNA", at positions 30 to 507 of the family's 1533-position model. The record is from RNAcentral.
AUUGAACGCUGGCGGCAGGCCUAACACAUGCAAGUCGAGCGGAUGAAGGGGGCUUGCUCCUGGAUUCAGCGGCGGACGGGUGAGUAAUGCCUAGGAAUCUGCCUGGUAGUGGGGGGUAACGUCCGGAAACGGGCGCUAAUACCGCAUACGUCCUGAGGGAGAAAGUGGGGGAUCUUCGGACCUCACGCUAUCAGAUGAGCCUAGGUCGGAUUAGCUAGUUGGUGGGGUAAAGGCCUACCAAGGCGACGAUCCGUAACUGGUCUGAGAGGAUGAUCAGUCACACUGGAACUGAGACACGGUCCAGACUCCUACGGGAGGCAGCAGUGGGGAAUAUUGGACAAUGGGCGAAAGCCUGAUCCAGCCAUGCCGCGUGUGUGAAGAAGGUCUUCGGAUUGUAAAGCACUUUAAGUUGGGAGGAAGGGCAGUAAGUUAAUACCUUGCUGUUUUGACGUUACCAACAGAAUAAGCACCGGCUAACUUCGUG